UGGGGUGUAGCUUAGUGGUAGUUAGCACUUGCCCAGCUUGCUCAAGGCCCUGGGUUCCAUCCCCAGCACCUCAA
This 74-nucleotide transfer RNA is filed under the name Marmota monax (woodchuck). It matches the Rfam family "tRNA". From Rfam's summary of the family: Transfer RNA (tRNA) molecules are approximately 80 nucleotides in length. Lineage: Eukaryota; Metazoa; Chordata; Mammalia; Rodentia; Sciuridae. The record is from Rfam by way of RNAcentral.